Microtus ochrogaster (prairie vole) is the source of this 982-nucleotide long non-coding RNA. RefSeq lists it as uncharacterized. The record is from RefSeq and is a predicted model, not a curated record. The transcript has 3 exons. NCBI's taxonomy places the organism in Eukaryota, Metazoa, Chordata, Mammalia, Rodentia, Cricetidae.
GAGUCUGCGAUUGCUUCCUGUCAUCUGAGCUGCCUGUGUCAUCCUGAAAGAUGAAACAGGUAUCCAGGCUUCCACAGCUUCCAGCUCAGAUUCCCCUGGCUGCUUCCAAGCAGGACUUCCAGAUGCUGGUUCUGCUGGAUCCACACGUCAUUCAUCUCCCGUCUCCGUUUUUGAAAGCCAAUUCCACCUCAGGACUUUUUGCAGAGGUCACACAAAACAAUGGCUGUUCAAAAGUCUCAGCUUGGUUCCUGGCCCGUGCAACCGUUUUGGGUUUUUAUUCUCCAACAUUUGAAUCUCCAGGGCAAGUAAACUAAGAGAUGGUGAUGAAAACAGUCUGCCUGCCCAAAAUGUGGAUUUGUGGAGAAAAAUGUAAAGUCCCAUGGUCUGGUCCUUCACUGUCCACCACAAAGAGGGACUGGGCUUGUGAAGCUUCCAGAGCAAGUCCCUGUGAGAUGACUUUCCAGGUGAAGACAACUGACAGCCUGUGCUCCAUCCCCGGGGCCCACGUGGUGGAAGGAGAAAAGUCGUCCUCUGAACUACAGAGAGAGACAAAACCAGAGAGCCUCACAGAAAAAAAAAAUCAUAAAAGCAAAUUCACGGGCAGGUCGGGGGAUUAGCAAUUCUGUAGGAGAUUUCUUGAGGCAAGAGGGACCCUGGUGCCUAUCUCUUCUGGGCUCCUUCACUUCAAAGCUCCCAGAUUCCUGUUUCCAGAUCAUUCUGUAGGUUCAUAACAUUGCCUUUCAUUGGCCUUCCACCUAAGUGAAUAUUGUUCAAAUAGAUAAGGAUACAGGACCAUAAAGGGUCAGAUCACGAUGUGAAUAACCCAGCCACUGGGAACAUUCACCUUGAACAAAUACAAUUCGAAUGACUGGAGAUAAAAUGAAGUACAGUAAUAUCAGUCGUCUCUGCUUUAAGGAGGCCUUGGUGGCUCAUAAGAAUGUGAGGGCUGGAGAGAUAUCUCAGUGGUUAAGAGCACCGUCUG